Molecule: long non-coding RNA, 394 nt
Organism: Macaca mulatta (Rhesus monkey)
Lineage: Eukaryota; Metazoa; Chordata; Mammalia; Primates; Cercopithecidae
Source: RefSeq, a predicted model, not a curated record
GGCUGGUGGUGUCUGAGCCCUAGACAGUUGUCGGCCGCUGAUUGAACCCGGGCCGGCCGCAGGAAGCGGCUACAGCAGCGACGGAAGCGGUGUGGGCCACCAUAUUGGCCCAUCUGCUGAACCUCCACCUGACCAGAGCCCGCCGUGCGUAGGCUGACAGGAGACGUGCGGGGUGGACGGACUGCGGGACAUCCGGAGGAAGGGCUCAAGGCGCGCCAAUCUCAAAGCUGGGCCGCCACUCUAGACCGUGGAGGGCAGCGCCCGGGCCGGAUCAUCGGUCGAGGAUAUGGGGUCGCCUCAGCGUGGGAAGCUCCACAUGGUCCAGAACUGCAGGAGGAAGAAAGCAUCUACUGCAUAAAGGAAAGAAAGGAAAACUCAUAGAAAUGGAAAUGUA